Pogoniulus pusillus (Red-fronted tinkerbird) is the source of this 310-nucleotide long non-coding RNA. RefSeq lists it as uncharacterized. The record is from RefSeq and is a predicted model, not a curated record. NCBI's taxonomy places the organism in Eukaryota, Metazoa, Chordata, Aves, Piciformes, Lybiidae. The transcript is spliced from 3 exons.
AUGAACACAUAUGUUUCAAAACAAUUUAUGGAAGUGAAGAAAGAAUAUUCACACAGAUCACGUUCCAGUCAUGACACCAUAGAUGAUGUCUGGAGGAUACCAGGUGCCAGAUACAGUGAUAGGAGAAGGCGGAGGACUCUACAAUCCAUCUAUUCGGAUGCCCUACUGAGAGCACCACAGCUUCCAAGCUGUAAGUCCUCCUUUCAUCAUUCAGAAAAAGCAACACACCAUGAUUAAAUCAGCUCAUCUCAUCUAAACUUGAAGCAAAAGAUACAAUUGUUCCCACAGCUGGAAAACAAGAAGGCUCUGU